Molecule: long non-coding RNA, 360 nt
Filed under: Capsella rubella
Lineage: Eukaryota; Viridiplantae; Streptophyta; Magnoliopsida; Brassicales; Brassicaceae
Description: long non-coding RNA (CRUB_LNC002159)
Source: RNAcentral
CGUUCCAAAAGUAACAAGACCAAGAGGGUUUUAGAUCUUCUAGGGCACGAUUAUAUUUUUAGAUAUUAGCUUAACUUGUGUACUAAGCACAGCUUCAGACCGGUCGCGCGUCUGUUGGUUUUCUCUGAUUUUUGCCCGUUUUUUAUCAUUUUUUUUUCCGAGCCUCCCUAAUCAUUUUCCAAUCAUUGGAACAAUCUCAAACAUAUAAAACUAGACAAAACAAAAAGAAAUAUGUACGAGGAUACUAUGGGAUUGCCUCCCAAGUGAGCUUGUUUCACGUCUAUAAGCUUGACGUUUUCACGCCAUUUAAGCGGUUUGGGGCUCCGAGAGAGAGAAAAGUGGUUCCUUACUCGAUGGAAU